GCCCCCUUAGCUCAGCGGGACAGAGCAUCGGACUUCUAAUCCGAGGGUCGCAGGUUCGAAUCCUGCAGGGGGUG
Molecule: transfer RNA, 74 nt
Filed under: Candidatus Tectimicrobiota bacterium
Lineage: Bacteria; Pseudomonadati; Candidatus Tectimicrobiota
Description: Candidatus Tectomicrobia bacterium tRNA-Arg
Rfam family: tRNA
About the family: Transfer RNA (tRNA) molecules are approximately 80 nucleotides in length. Their secondary structure includes four short double-helical elements and three loops (D, anti-codon, and T loops). Further hydrogen bonds mediate the characteristic L-shaped molecular structure. tRNAs have two regions of fundamental functional importance: the anti-codon, which is responsible for specific mRNA codon recognition, and the 3' end, to which the tRNAs corresponding amino acid is attached (by aminoacyl-tRNA synthetases). tRNAs cope with the degeneracy of the genetic code in two manners: having more than one tRNA (with a specific anti-codon) for a particular amino acid; and 'wobble' base-pairing, i.e. permitting non-standard base-pairing at the 3rd anti-codon position.
Source: RNAcentral